UACGGAAGGGGCUAGCGUUGUUCGGAAUUACUGGGCGUAAAGAGCGCGUAGGCGGCUUACCAAGUUGGGGGUGAAAUCCCGGAGCUCAACUCCGGAACUGCCUUCAAAACUGGUAGGCUCGAGUCCGGAAGAGGGGCGUGGAAUUCCCAGUGUAGAGGUGAAAUUCGUAGAUAUUGGGAAGAACACCGGUGGCGAAGGCGGCGCCCUGGUCCGGUACUGACGCUGAGGCGUGAACGCGGGGGGCGCAAACAGG
Molecule: ribosomal RNA, 253 nt
Filed under: uncultured bacterium
Lineage: Bacteria
Description: partial 16S ribosomal RNA
Rfam family: Bacterial small subunit ribosomal RNA
Source: RNAcentral